RNAcentral lists this long non-coding RNA (240 nucleotides) under Setaria italica (foxtail millet). Its description in RNAcentral is "long non-coding RNA (SITA_LNC006783)". The record is from RNAcentral. Lineage: Eukaryota; Viridiplantae; Streptophyta; Magnoliopsida; Poales; Poaceae.
GAAGGUGGCCUCAAUCUACAAGGAAUCUUCUAGCAUCGGUGCACUCUUUGAUGGCUCUCUACACUCAAACAAAAGCAACCGAAGGCAAUCCAUUGCUACUCUAUUUAUAGCCGAAAGACGCAACUACCACCUAUCCAAGAGUUACUAUAUGCCCGUGAUCAAUGAGUCUGAUGACUCCUGACUCUGCCCACGUGCUAGCAUUUAUACCACAAAGGACAAAAGUGUACAGUACACCCGUGC